Molecule: non-coding RNA, 813 nt
Organism: Drosophila takahashii
Lineage: Eukaryota; Metazoa; Arthropoda; Insecta; Diptera; Drosophilidae
Source: RefSeq, a predicted model, not a curated record
CUGAUCGCUCGCGCCGAUGAUUUAAUUUUUAAGUUAAAGCCUGCGCCGCGUUACUCACAUCCAUACAUACGUGCGAAUAUACAUGCCUACAUAAUACGGCGUACAUCGAUAAAUAGAUAUACCCCGCAGAUAUAGUGUCUCGAUCGACAGCAACGAACCCAUGAAAACCUAAAACAAAACUGUUUGCGAGCGGAAAUCAUAUUGCCGCGGCGGCCACCGAAAUGCUAAAUGAAUCAGGCCAAUAAUAUGAGAAAGAGUUCUUUCUGCCAAGCGAUGUUAUUGUUUUUGACUGCCGGAAACGGAAGCAACGCCAACUGCAUAUAGCUUUAUAGACGUAUAUCCACAUAGUGCUGCGAUACAGUCAUCACUCGCAGCGCUGUCAUAUACUAUAAAUAUAGAUGCGGCGGCACAUGUGAGCGAUUUUUGGCAAUUGCCAGAGAAUACGGCGCACAAGUCGGGCAAAAACAAACAGCGCGUGCAGGCUAAACAUGAAAUAAAUAUUUGAAAAUGAAAAUAUAAAUAAGAAUUAAUAAUCCCCGCCUUGGGGCGCAUGUAUGUGUGAGCGUGUGAGUAAUCCGAACAAUAACUAUACUAUAAUAGCGAGCGAUCUGCAUUCAAAGAGAGAAGAAUCACACAAGAAGAAAACGAACGAACCUAACAACGCGAACAAACACAAAACGGAAUUGUAAUAAUUGACGAGACGAGCCCAUAACGAGCCGAGAACGAGCAGCACAAAGCGACAAACCAAAAAUAGACGAUACCCACGCCAGCGGAGAAAGAACAACAACACUACAAUCAAUUGUGAUCACUGUG